GAUCCCCGGCAACGGCGCCAUUUGAUUCGGGGUUCGAUCCCCGGCAACGGCGCCAUUUGAUUCGUGCCCAAUUGGUGUCUCAGCUGAUUCAUGUCCAGCUGGUGCUCCUUGAUUGAGGGAUUAAUCAACAAAAUUUAUAACCUAUUACACCAUAUACUAGGGUAGCAAAGACAAAGCUACUAUAGCAUAGUGGCUCUAGGAUCGU
Molecule: long non-coding RNA, 205 nt
Filed under: Vitis vinifera (wine grape)
Lineage: Eukaryota; Viridiplantae; Streptophyta; Magnoliopsida; Vitales; Vitaceae
Description: long non-coding RNA (VVIN_LNC003815)
Source: RNAcentral